RNAcentral lists this ribosomal RNA (429 nucleotides) under Gemmatimonadota bacterium. RNAcentral's name for it is "Gemmatimonadetes bacterium partial 16S ribosomal RNA". It matches the Rfam family "Bacterial small subunit ribosomal RNA", at positions 355 to 776 of the family's 1533-position model. Lineage: Bacteria; Pseudomonadati; Gemmatimonadota. The record is from RNAcentral.
UAGGGAAUCUUCGGCAAUGGACGAAAGUCUGACCGAGCAACGCCGCGUGAGGGAAGAAGGCCUUCGGAUCGUAAAACUCUGUUGUUAGAGAAGAACAAGGACGUUAGUAACUGAACGUCCCCUGACGGUAUCUAACCGGAAAGCCACGGCUAACUACGUGCCAGCAGCCGCGGUAAUACGUAGGUGGCAAGCGUUGUCCGGAUUUAUUGGGCGUAAAGCGAGCGCAGGCGGUUUCUUAAGUCUGAUGUGAAAGCCCCCGGCUCAACCGGGGAGGGUCAUUGGAAACUGGGAGACUUGAGGGCAGGAGAGGAGAGUGGAAUUCCAUGUGUAGGGGUGAAAUGCGUAGAUAUAUGGAGGAACACCAGUGGCGAAGGCGGCUCUCUGGUCUGUAACUGACGCUGAGGCGCGAAAGCGUGGGGAGCAAACAGG